RNAcentral lists this ribosomal RNA (1447 nucleotides) under Scytonema sp. Ft11. RNAcentral's name for it is "bacterial SSU rRNA". It matches the Rfam family "Bacterial small subunit ribosomal RNA". The record is from RNAcentral. Lineage: Bacteria; Bacillati; Cyanobacteriota; Cyanophyceae; Nostocales; Scytonemataceae.
UAAAAAAGUGGCGGACGGGUGAGUAACGCGUGAGAAUCUGCCUUCAGGUCUGGGACAACCACUGGAAACGGUGGCUAAUACCGGAUGUGCUUCACGGUGAAAGAUUAAUCGCCUGAAGAUGAGCUCGCGUCUGAUUAGCUAGUUGGUGGGGUAAGAGCCUACCAAGGCGACCCCCGAUCAGUAACUGGUCUGAGAGGAUGAUCAGUCACACUGGAACUGAGACACGGUCCAGACUCCUACGGGAGGCAGCAGUGGGGAAUUUUCCGCAAUGGGCGAAAGCCUGACGGAGCAAUACCGCGUGAGGGAGGAAGGCUCUUGGGUUGUAAACCUCUUUUCUCAGGGAAGAAGACAAUGACGGUACCUGAGGAAUAAGCAUCGGCUAACUCCGUGCCAGCAGCCGCGGUAAUACGGGGGAGGAUGCAAGCGUUAUCCGGAAAAAAUGAUUGGGCGUAAAGCGUCCGCAGGUGGUUUUGUAAGUCUGCUGUUAAAGCGUCAUGCUCAACAUGAUAAAGGCAGUGGAAACUACUCAACUCGAGUGCGUUCGGGGCAGAGGGAAUUCCUGGUGUAGCGGUGAAAUGCGUAGAGAUCAGGAAGAACACCGGUGGCGAAAGCGCUCUGCUAGGCCGCAACUGACACUGAGGGACGAAAGCUAGGGGAGCGAAAAAAUGGGAUUAGAUACCCCAGUAGUCCUAGCCGUAAACGAUGGAUACUAGGUGUUGCUUGUAUCGACCCGAGCAGUUUUACCGUAGCUAACGCGUUAAGUAUCCCGCCUGGGGAGUACGCACGCAAGUGUGAAACUCAAAGGAAUUGACGGGGGCCCGCACAAGCGGUGGAGUAUGUGGUUUAAUUCGAUGCAACGCGAAGAACCUUACCAGGACUUGACAUGUCGCGAAUUUCGGUGAAAAAAGCUGAAAGUGCCUUCGGGAGCGCGAACACAGGUGGUGCAUGGCUGUCGUCAGCUCGUGUCGUGAGAUGUUGGGUUAAGUCCCGCAACGAGCGCAACCCUCGUUUUUAGUUGCCAGCAUUCAGUUGGGGGGCACUCUAGGGAGACUGCCGGUGACAAACCGGAGGAAGGUGGGGAUGACGUCAAGUCAGCAUGCCCCUUACGUCCUGGGCUACACACGUACUACAAUGCUACGGGGGAACAAAGGGCAGCGACACAGCGAUGUGAUGCAAAUCUCAGAAAUCGUGGCUCAGUUCAGAUCGCAGGCUGCAACUCGCCUGCGUAAAAGAAGUCGGAAUCGCUAGUAAUUGCAGGUCAGCAUACUGCAGUGAAUUCGUUCCCGGGCCUUGUACACACCGCCCGUCAAACACCAUGGAAGCUGGUAGUGCCCGAAGUCAUUACCCCAACCUUUCGAGGAGGGGGAUGCCUAAGGCAGGACUGGUGACUGGGGUGAAGUCGUAACAAGGUAGCCGUACCGGAAGGUGUGGCUGGAUCACCUCCUUU